Molecule: ribosomal RNA, 460 nt
Filed under: uncultured bacterium
Lineage: Bacteria
Description: partial 16S ribosomal RNA
Rfam family: Bacterial small subunit ribosomal RNA
Source: RNAcentral
CCUACGGGCGGCAGCAGUGAGGAAUAUUGGUCAAUGGCCGGAAGGCUGAACCAGCCAUGCCGCGUGAAGGUCGGUGCCCUAUGGGCGUUAAACUUCUUUUGUGCGGGAGCAAUAAUGGUCACGUGUGGCCAGACGAGAGUACCGUACGAAUAAGCAUCGGCUAAGUCCGUGCCAGCAGCCGCGGGAAUACGGGGGAUGCAAGCGUUAUCCGGAUUGAGUGGGUUUAAAGGGUGCGUAAGCUGUGAGGUAAGUCAGCGGGGAAAUGCCCCCGCUCAACGGGGGGAAGUGCCAUUGAUACUGCCUUGCUGGAAUGCGGAUGCGGUGGGAGGAAUGUGUGGUGUAGCGGUGAAAUGCAUAGAUAUCAGACAGAACACCGAGUGCGAAGGCAGCUUACGAAUCCGCGAUUGACGCUGAUGCACGAAAGCGUGGGUAUCAAACAGGAUUAGAUACCCCAGUAGUC